GCAGGCUCGCGCUUGAAUACAUUAGCAUGGAAUAAUGAAAUAGGACGUUCGAUUCUAUUUUGUUGGUUUCUAGGAUCGACGUAAUGAUUAAUAGGGAUAGUUGGGGGCAUUAGUAUUCAAUUGUCAGAGGUGAAAUUCUUGGAUUUAUUGAAGACUAACUACUGCGAAAGCAUUUGCCAAGGAUGUUUUCAUUAAUCAAGAACGAAAGUUAGGGGAUCGAAGACGAUCAGAUACCGUCGUAGUCUUAACCAUAAACUAUGCCGACUAGGGAUCGGAUGAUGUUAAUUUUUUAAUGACUCAUUCGGCGCCUUACGGGAAACCAAAGUGUUUGGGUUCCGGGGGGAGUAUGGUCGCAAGGCUGAAACUUAAAGGAAUUGACGGAAGGGCACCACCAGGGGUGGAGCCUGCG
Molecule: ribosomal RNA, 409 nt
Filed under: uncultured Glomus
Lineage: Eukaryota; Fungi; Glomeromycota; Glomeromycetes; Glomerales; Glomeraceae
Description: SSU rRNA
Rfam family: Eukaryotic small subunit ribosomal RNA
Source: RNAcentral